Hemiscyllium ocellatum (epaulette shark) is the source of this 1325-nucleotide long non-coding RNA. RefSeq lists it as uncharacterized. The record is from RefSeq and is a predicted model, not a curated record. The transcript has 3 exons. Lineage: Eukaryota; Metazoa; Chordata; Chondrichthyes; Orectolobiformes; Hemiscylliidae.
AGCAGGUGAAGGGAGAAAGCUGGUCACCCUCCAGGAUAAAGAGAAAUUACAAAGAGAGGGAGGCCCUGGCUGGGGAAUACCUGAACGAUCGAGCAUCAGGAGACCACGGCUCCAGACUAUGGGCGGUUCCAAGAAUAAACUCGACCUGCCCUCCAGCUUCCUGCAGCACCUGCACUGCUUUCAAAACAAAUACAGAUACAGCGUCAGCAACAGAGUGAGAGCACUCUCGGGGGUUCCAAAGCCUGGCGCGAUGUGAUACUUGCUCUAUGAAGUUUAACUGUCUCGGUCUAUUCUUUUACAAGAUACAGGGUUUUCUCUCGCUCUCUCCUCAGUGGUUGGUGGAGUCGAGUACAAAGAACAAAGAAAAUUUACAGCCUGGGAACAAGUCCUUCUUUCCUCCAAGCCUGAGCCGAUCCAAAUCUACUAUCUAGAUCUAUCACCCAAUUCCUAAGCAUCUGUAUCCCUCUACUCUCCACUUACUCAUGCAUCUAUCCAGACGCAUCUUAAGUGAAUCUACUGGGCCUGCCUCUACCAUCUCAGCUGGCAAUCCGUUCCAGACACUCACCACCCUCUAAAGUAUUUGCUGUGUGUAUCCCCCUUAAACUUUUCACUUACCUUGAGCAAUGUUCAAUUAUAAUAUAAUUGUCAUUAUAUUGUAAAGUUAUUACAUUAUUUUGUAGUGAUUGUAAUUUUAUGAAAAAUGUAGACUUUUUCUCAAAAGUAUUUACAAAAAUAUUACGUAGUAAUUAAAAUAGAAAUAUCAGGCCAAACAAUAUGUUGUCACUGCAUGAUGUGGGAGCAAGGUGACCCUAUUGUGGUUCAUAUGUCUAUGAAGGAUUUAAUGAUUAUGUUGUAAGUAGUUCUUCAACCAAGGUGAAUUAUUUUAUAAAACCAUACUAGAGAGAGACUCACUGAAGAGUUUUGGUGUUUUGUUUUCUCUUGGUUGAGUCUUAGGAAUGAACAGGGUAAACAGUUGUAAGUCGGAUUCAGGUAUGUGUCUGGAUUGUUUUAACUUGGAGAAAACACAAACUAUAAGCUUUUCUUCAAGUUACGUUUGGCAUUGUUGCCAAAGUUGGACUUGUAAAAUAAUUGCCCUAAGUUUACGACUAUGAAGAAAGGGUUGCUAGAAGGGCAAGCAGUUUAGUUUUAAAAACUCCAGCUGCAAAGUAUUUGGUUAAACCCAUAAAGUGGCUAUUUGAAAUUCAAAUUCUGCACUUAGUUGUACAUGGUCUCAAGGAAAAUGUAAUCACUGAACCUUAGCUAAUUCAAAUUCUGAGUAUAAUAAAGGAAUUCUUACCACUGUGGAGUCAUUCAUUUGAGAUCAA